UUACGGCCACAUCACGUUGAAACACCGGUCCCCCCCUACGCUCACCGAAGUUAAGCAACGUCGAGCUUGAUCAUUACUUUGAUGGGUAACCGCUUGGGUAUACCAGGUUCUGUAA
Molecule: non-coding RNA, 115 nt
Organism: Acanthosepion pharaonis
Lineage: Eukaryota; Metazoa; Mollusca; Cephalopoda; Sepiida; Sepiidae
Source: the annotation of a GenBank genome assembly